UACGUAGGGUGCAAGCGUUAAUCGGAAUUACUGGGCGUAAAGCGUGCGCAGGCGGUUAUGCAAGACAGAGGUGAAAUCCCCGGGCUCAACCUGGGAACUGCCUUUGUGACUGCAUGGCUAGAGUACGGUAGAGGGGGAUGGAAUUCCGCGUGUAGCAGUGAAAUGCGUGGAUAUGCGGAGGAACACCGAUGGCGAAGGCAAUCCCCUGGACCUGUACUGACGCUCAUGCACGAAAGCGUGGGGAGCAAACAGG
RNAcentral lists this ribosomal RNA (253 nucleotides) under uncultured bacterium. RNAcentral's name for it is "partial 16S ribosomal RNA". It matches the Rfam family "Bacterial small subunit ribosomal RNA", at positions 524 to 776 of the family's 1533-position model. The record is from RNAcentral.